UACGUAGGGGGCAAGCGUUGUUCGGAAUUACUGGGCGUAAAGGGCGCGUAGGCGGCACGGCAAGUCAGGAGUGAAAGCCCUGGGCUCAACCCAGAAACUGCUUUUGAAACUGCCGAGCUAGAGUGCGGAAGGGGCAACUGGAAUUCCCAGUGUAGCGGUGAAAUGCGUAGAUAUUGGGAAGAACACCUGAGGCGAAGGCGGGCUGCUGGGCCGACACUGACGCUGACAGCGCGAAAGCUAGGGGAGCGAACGGG
Molecule: ribosomal RNA, 254 nt
Filed under: uncultured bacterium
Lineage: Bacteria
Description: partial 16S ribosomal RNA
Rfam family: Bacterial small subunit ribosomal RNA
Source: RNAcentral